UGCAGUCGAACGGCAGCAUAGGUGCUUGCACCUGAUGGCGAGUGGCGAAGGGGUGAGUAAUGCAUCGGAACGUGCCCAGUCGUGGGGGAUAACGCAGCGAAAGCUGUGCUAAUACCGCAUACGAUCUAUGGAUGAAAGCGGGGGACCUUCGGGCCUCGCGCGAUUGGAGCGGCCGAUGUUAGAUUAGGUAGUUGGUGAGGUAAAGGCUCACCAAGCCUACGAUCUAUAGCUGGUCUGAGAGGACGACCAGCCACACUGGAACUGAGACACGGUCCAGACUCCUACGGGAGGCAGCAGUGGGGAAUUUUGGACAAUGGGCGAAAGCCUGAUCCAGCAAUACCGCGUGCAGGAAGAAGGCCUUCGGGUUGUAAACUGCUUUUGUACGGAACGAAACGGUCUAGAUUAAUACUCUGGGCUAAUGACGGUACCGUAAGAAUAAGCACCGGCUAACUACGUGCCAGCAGCCGCGGUAAUACGUAGGGUGCAAGCGUUAAUCGGAAUUACUGGGCGUAAAGCGUGCGCAGGCGGUUUUGUAAGACAGGCGUGAAAUCCCCGGGCUCAACCUGGGAAUUGCGCUUGUGACUGCAAGGCUAGAGUACGG
Molecule: ribosomal RNA, 601 nt
Filed under: uncultured bacterium
Lineage: Bacteria
Description: bacterial SSU rRNA
Rfam family: Bacterial small subunit ribosomal RNA
Source: RNAcentral